UAGGGAAUAUUGGGCAAUGGACGAGAGUCUGACCCAGCCAUGCCGCGUGCAGGAAGAAGGCGUUCUGCGUUGUAAACUGCUUUUAUCUGGGAAGAAAAGGCCCAUGCGUGGGACAUUGCCGGUACCAGAUGAAUAAGCACCGGCUAACUCCGUGCCAGCAGCCGCGGUAAUACGGAGGGUGCAAGCGUUGUCCGGAUUUAUUGGGUUUAAAGGGUGCGUAGGCGGUUGAUUAAGUCAGUGGUGAAAGUUUUGGGCUCAACCCAGAAAUUGCCAUUGAUACUGGUCGACUUGAGUAUUGCAGGGGUACAUGGAAUUGAUGGUGUAGCGGUGAAAUGCAUAGAUACCAUCAGGAACACCGAUAGCGAAGGCAUUGUACUGGGCAACCACUGACGCUGAUGCACGAAAGCAUGGGGAGCGAACAGG
This 423-nucleotide ribosomal RNA is filed under the name uncultured Cyclobacteriaceae bacterium. RNAcentral describes it as "bacterial SSU rRNA". It matches the Rfam family "Bacterial small subunit ribosomal RNA", at positions 355 to 776 of the family's 1533-position model. The record is from RNAcentral. Lineage: Bacteria; Pseudomonadati; Bacteroidota; Cytophagia; Cytophagales; Cyclobacteriaceae.